GGUAGUGUUCACCAAAUUCUCUCCAUUCUUCAGGGCUAGUUCUGGAAGCUGCUGCAUCAAGCUUUAGGAGGGCUAACAGUGAUGGGAAUGGACAAUACAGGAGCUUCCGGCCUCCCUCAGAGAACUGGCCCAGAGCAAGGACAUGGAGAUACAUAUGAAAUUUGGAAUAAAUGGCCAUUACAGACCCACAGGUUGUCAUCACAAAAUUAAAGUGAGAUGAGAAGGCAAACAUGCUCUAUGUACAAAACUGCCAGUUUUCCAGGCUAUCCCCCCAGGACUGAGAUGAGGUGAGAGGUAAGUUGUUUGUAAGUAUGACUUGACUGAGCAAUGCAACCAGACUGAACGUUCAGAAAGCCCUUCUGCGCUUGGAGCCAGCUUUCAUGUCUUGGAAAUCCUGAUUUAUUUCAGGACAGGAAAAAUCCGAGCCAGUUUGCAGGGUGGAAAUUAAAAUCUUAAAAACUAUGUAUGAAAAUCGAAUAUUCCAAAUGGCCUGGUUUAAACAUCACCCUGCAUCGUUGAUCAAAUGUAAAAGUUCUUUUUAUGACUUUUAUGACUAGGUGUAGGACUGGGGAAAGCCUUGGUGAAUAUUUAUGGGUAACCUCAAGGAAUUCCACUGACUGUACUUCAGUCUGCUUUUGUACCCACAAGUUUCUUUGGAGAUUUCAAGCCUGCAAAUGCUUAUGGAUUGAAAAAUAUUUUGGUUUGGCUGUAUUCUGUUAAAUUGUGAAUUUUGGGGAGUGGGAGAGAGACUAUAUAUAUUAAUUUGGACACAUUUAAGAUACUAUAUAUAUGUAUGCAUAUGUUUUUAUUCCUUUAGAUUUAUGUCUGUGACUUUCUUGAGGACAGGACCUUUGCUUUAACUAUCUCUGUGCCCCCAGACCUAAUGUAGUUUCUGGAAAAUAGGCAACACCCUAGAAAUGCCUUACUGAUUCACAUCAUUUAGUUAACUUUGUUGAACUCUCUGUGUGCUAGGUCCUGUGCUAGCUGCUGAGGGAGGUCCAGGGACAAAUAGAGACAAUGGGAUUUUCAAAUAGAGUUCAACUUUCAAAAUGAACUUCACUUUAAAACUUAAAUAAAUAAAAAGGCAGAGCAUAAAAACAACUAGCUCACAAAUUAAUUGCUUUUUUGCAAACUUCAGUAACUAGCCAUGCAGAUCUGCAAGUGCUGGUCAUUUCAUAUAGCAAUCUUCGGUGUAUUAGGAAGAGGUAUGGAAGCCAAUCUGAGUCUUAUGGUCCUUUCAACUAGUGAAGAAUGAGAUGUAUACAUACAACACUGGCUACUGGAAAGGUGGGUGGCAAUGGUGUAACCACCAUCAAUAAAUUCCAAAAUAUAAUUGUAGGUAUUUCCAUGUAAAUUACCUUAUUUAAUCCUCCCAAAGGUUGUGUAGCACUGGCACUGUUACUUAUGUUUUUUAAAAUGCUGUUUCUCAUCCUAGAAGUUCUUCCAGUUUUGAUCUGCUAAACAUUCCUCAUCUUUCAGGAACCACCUCCAAAGACAUCCUUUCUGUGAUUCUUUUCGCUCAAAACCAGCCAGAUUCCAUAGGCUCUUUCCUUUCUGCUUCCAUAUGUAAGACUUUGCAUAUUCCUCAAGCAUGACACUUAAGCUAGUGCAUUGCAAAUACAGUCCUGUCUCCAUGUUGGGCUGCGAGCUCUUCAAAUGGCUUCCCCAUCACACUUGUCCCCAGCCAGUUGCUCAACCUAGAACUUAAGGAGCUUUUCUUAACACUUUUCCAGUCUACAUCAGUGAGUCACCAAAUCCUUCACCUUUUCCCCCUAAAUAACCUGAGGCCUCCAAAUUCCACUCACCUGUACUGGGGUCACCUUAGUUUCGAUGGACGUCAUGUCUCCUCAAUCUACAGCAAUAGCCUCUUGACUCCUCUCAUUGUCAUCCCCCUGCUGUCCUGUAAAUUCCCACUGCAGCUGCAAUAAAUCCCACAGAUGUUAAUGUCACAUGCAGGAGCCUCUGCAGCCUGGCUCCUCCCCUCCUCUCCAGCCCCAUCUUGUACUUUUGCCCACUGCUCUUCAAACAGUUUUACCUUUUCUUUGCCAAGUGCUUUUCCACUGCAUGCUCUUCCCUCCGCCUAGAAUGCUCUUUCUGCCACUCUUCACCAAGCCAGCUCCUGCUCAGUCUUCAGAUUUUAGGUCAAAUGAUGCUUUCACAGAGUGGGCUUUAUUGAGCCCCUAGGAUCCUUUUCAGAUAAUUCAUUUUCGUUUUUUUUUCUUUUUAGCACCAAUCAGAACUUGCAUGCAUGUGUGCAUGUAUAUAUUUGCUUCAUGUCUGUCUCCUUCACUGGAAUGCAAGACUUGUUGGAGAAAAUACUAGUUGUCUGUUUGCCUUUUUACAUUAUUGUACAUCUAGUACCUACCUAGUGUCUGAGAGUGCAGUGGGUGUUUACUAUUUAUAAAAAUUUAAAUAAAUGAAUGGAGAAAAAUAAAGUUCUCCAAAUGAGACCAUCACACCAGUAUUACUGAAUAUGUCCCUUAUUUUUGUUUAGUGUGUUUCACCCUAGCAAAGGUAAAUUAAAUAUUAAAAAAAAAUUUCCAUCAGUUGUAAGUUUCCUUUAAUUCCCACUUUUCCUUCACCAAACAGUAUUUGGAAGGUGCUACUUGCCCCACUGAUGAGAAGCAUGCAUCUGGAAAUGUCCCACUUUCUGUCCAUGCACCUGUAGGUGGUCCAUUCCUGGGCUCACCUGACCCCCAUGCCCCAAAUGAAGACAGGUCUCUUCACUUUGGAGAAGGUCAUUCAGCAAGCUAUGUUAGUCCCAUUUCACAUUGUAGAAACUGAGGCAAGCAAGAAAUGGUGUAACCUGGCUGAGCUACAGCAGGGUCCCCUGGCUGCCUGUCAAAGAAGAUGGAUGAGACAGCCAGGGAAAGUGGGAAGGAUUCAAACCACAUCCUUGGUGCAGGCUGUCAGCAAGGCUGAUUGCAGGUAACCACACUUAACAUCCUACCCUCGGUCUGUAGGGCCCCGGUGUUCUGCGAUGGGAGCCCAAACACAGCCACCUUGGUGCCAAAAAAGAAAUUCUCCCUCAGAAUAUUUCCCAAACAACAUUUUUAUUUGGAAGAAACCUAGCCAGAUGAAAACACACACAGUGUUUUCUUCUCAUGUAUUUCCCUGCCAGCACAUAUAUGUAUAUAUUCUUUUUUCUUUUGUAGUCCUGACCACCCUGACAUUAUAGUUUUUAUUUUGAGGAGAUUUUAAAAUAAUUUUCCUGUAACUCAUUCAUCUUCCUGUCCUGAGGUGGAGUGAAUUUCACAUUUUCCAGCCAGUCUUAAUGUAGCAGAAACUAUCAGAGAUGCAGCUGUGACUUCAGGUGCUAGAAUAGAGGGUAGAGUUGGAGCAGGUGGGCUGGGCCAAUAAAAUACAACUGGGAAACAGGAACCCGGAGAGAAAUCUCCCCAAGUUGCCCUAUGCAGGGGUCUGGCCAUGCUUUCCUGUGAAACCUAGCUAGCCUCUGGUUUCCUUCCCUAUUCCUUCCUGGGCUCCAGAUGUGCUCCCAUCUCGGACCUUCCUUGUUCCUAUUGCAGCCCCCCUUUGGCCACACUAAACAUUGCCUCUCAUGUAUAGAGCAGAGCCGUGGCCCAGCUCAUUUCUGCUUCUUGCCCCAGAUUCUGCCGUACUGGUUAGGCUUAUGGCAAAAACAGCAACAAAUUUACCCCCCAUCCUACUAUUAUUUGCUCACUUUUCCAAGUAACUCAGGACAGAGCUCCCCAUGAAGACAAACAGAACAUCCUUGAUUGGUCCUAAAGAAACUGGGAUAAUUUCUUCCAACUUGUUUUCUGUUUAUUUCAUUGUUCCAAGCAUGAACUCAUGUAAUCCACCUGCAAGUUGAGUUCUAGAUUAUCUUCCUGAAGGUUAUCUGUAAGAGUAUUAUUCAAACUACUCUUGUGGUUUCCCUCUGGGCCUUUACUGAAUGCUAUUUCCCUGGCCUUGAAUAGUCUUCCCUGGGGCUUUCCUGUUGUUACACAUUCCUCUAGGCUCAGUUCUCGCUCUACAUCCUUCAGCAUGAAGCCUUCUCUGUGGACUGAGGAUUUAGGGAUAAGAGUCUAUGUUCUAGCUCUGGGAUAUCUGGGUUUGCAUCCCAAGUUAUUCAUUUACUAGCUGUGCCACACAGAACUGUUUGCUAAAUCCUGUGCCGCACUUGCUAUACCUGUAAGUGGGAAUAAUAUUAGUAUCUAUUUCAUAGGACUGUUGAGAAGACUUAUUCAGUUAAAACAUGUGAAGUAGUUAGAAUAGCUAGGGGCUCAAUUUCAUCCUCUCUACACAAUCAAGCUGGUUUGGACUUCUGUAUAACUCAUAAAACUUUCAUUCACUCUUUAAGUAAAUAUUUUAAAAGUUACAAUAUUCUAGGAACACUGCUAGGCACUGGGAAGAAAGUGUUCACAGCCUACAAUACUGUGUGUACAAUAUUAUAUGUUUGCCUUCUGUUCUUGCUCUCAGGUUGUAAAAACUGAAUGUAGAAACUUUCAUUCCUUUCUGGAGACCCCACAUACUAGUUUCUCAGUGCAUAUAUUCUAGACUGAAUUAAGAUUUUCUAUGGAUGAAAGUGGUGUCAUAGAGAUGGACCCUGAAGGAUCCAUAUUGUACUGUCUGAUCAUCCUUGAUCUCUUGGAAGAUUUAUGUUUAACAUUAUUACUUACUUAUGAAGAGAGUCAUCUGUCCUUUAAAGAGCAUUUGAUAAUAUAUGAAACUCAUAGUUUGUGUAAAAGAAUAACGUAUCAAUAACAAAACUACACUACCACCAUCAUGUGUGCUGUCACUGUCAUCACCACCAUUACCAUCACCACCUCCAUCAGCACAACUCUCACAUUAUGUGAACCAUUAUCACCAUCACACUCUCACUGUGACCACCGCCAUGGCCACCAUUAUCACCCCCAGCUCCACCACCAUCGUCACCAUGAAAAUAUACAUAAUAAUAAUUAUAAUAAUACUGACAAAACAAGUUAACAGACAUUGCUGAUUUUCAAGAUUAUCCAGUAACCUUAUGAGGUAGGAAUUAUUUUUACUCUUACUUGAUGGAUGAGAAAAGUGAGUAUCAAAUGCAAACAAUUUCUUAAUUUAUAUUUGUUUCCAUUUUAGAAAUAAGAUGAUACAGGGCUUUUGUUGGGUAUGUUCUUUGUCCCUCCAGAUCCACAUUCUACCUUCUCCUUCCCUGCUCUGUAGCACAAAGGCUGGCGUCGACAGACUGCCUCAUCUAGGCUCUCUUGUCCUCCAGCAUUCAGCUGAGUUCAGCCAAUGGGAAACAGCAGCAGGAGACUGGAGGAGGGGACAGGGGAAGACUGGAAUGUUUAUUCCCACCCCAUGCUGCUAUUUUCUAGUGGGCUGUUCUUCCUAUAGGAUGACUUUCUCCUACAACCACAGUUCUCCCCCUUUCUUCUGCUAACCUAAGAAGUAACAGCUCCGAGCUCUGCUUUCCUUAACCGCGCUCUCAUCUCUGAGGUAAGUACUUUUUGAUGACCUCUAUAAGUAUGCCACCUGUUUCUUGCCUGCACUCUGAAUGAUGCGAUGUAAUAUAUAAUAUUCAAUACGGAAUACAAUAUACAAUUGCUAAAAACGGGAAGGAAGGAAGGGAAGUAACUUGAUUUCUAUCACCAAAAUAAAGUCACUAUUAUAAUUUUGGUGUGUUUACUUUCAAUCUUUGUUUUCUAUGCAGGUUUUUGUAGUCGUUACUGUGAUAUGCAUGUAUUCAUACUCCCUACUUUUUCAUUUUGUUCAGUUACCAGUUAUUUUUUAACAUUGCUGAGUCUGCAUGACCAUUAUUUUUAAUGACCGGGUAAUAUUCUGUGGAGAGUUCUUUUAAUAGGUUUUGUUGUUAUAAAAGAUGCUUUUCCCACAGUUCAGUUGUACAUAUAAUAGGUUCCCUGAAGUAUGAUUUUUGGGUCAAAGGAAAUGAAUGUUUUUGAUUCCCAAUCUUGUUCCCAAAUUUCAAAUCAAGGGAUAUCUAUCAUUUUGUAAAGGAGUCACAAUUAUUUUCAUAAUUGUUUUUCUCUCAUAUGUUUUUUACUUCCUGUAGGGAAAACAGAAGAUCCUAUGGCCAGGAUUCUCACUUCACCGUGAUCUACUUGAUGAUGUAAUUGACCUACCAUGUAGGGUGAUGCUUAUACACCCACUGGCAAUGAGCCGUUAUUGAAACUUGCCAGAGGCAGACAUAAUUCUGGGACUCAACCUGCCACAGUGAGAAAAGGCUUGGUAUAAACCCUUUUACACACAACGUUCCCAUUGUAACUAUUCAGUCUCACCAAAUCCAGAGUGAACUUGCCCGGGGGCAAUCCCCCUCAGGAAGACGUUUGGCAUAGUUGGCAGGAUUUGUUGCAAACCAAAAAUAAAUGGAGUAAGAUGCGCUCAUGGGAAGGGUAUUUCAGCAGGCUGCCUCUAUGGAUGGGGAAAUACUUCAGGAUUCCCCUAUGGACUGAGAUACUUGGGUGUCCCCAAUGAGCACAUGGCCUGAGGAGGUGGUCUUCCUAGAGGAGUGGGCCCCUCCCCAGGACUGGGAGGGAGUGGAGAUGACACCUGGGGCCGUGGUGGAGGCCCUCAAUGAGAUUGAAAAAUCCUUAAAGAAACAGGAUGCUCACCAGCUGAUGGUGGUGGCAGCUGUGGGUUGGCUAUUUCUCAGUGUUAAGAAAGGCCAUUAAGGAGAAGGACAUACUCCUGUGAGAAGCAUGAGAAGAGGCAGCACAAGAAUGCAGGCUGCAAGGUGCUAUGGGGGAGAUAAAAGAUUUUUUGAUGACUGAGAUGGCGUUGCUAUGAGGUCUUAUGGAGAUGGCAAAGGAUGUGAUGACAGCCCAAGAGAGCACAAGAACACAGGCUGUGAGGUACCGUGGAGGAGGUGAAAGAUUCUUUGCAGAAUAAGAUGGCUCCACUGCAAGGCAUUGCGGAAGAGGCAAAGGCUACAAAGCAGAGGAUGAACUCCUGCGAGAAGCACGAGAAGAGGUGGCAUCAGAAUGCCAGCUGUGAGGUAUUGAGGAGAAGGCAAGAGAGAUGUUAAAGACUGAGGUAGUGUCACUGCAAGGUACUGUGGGGAAGGUCAAGGAUAUAGCAGAGGAAGCCCUUUGUGGAAGGAGAAAUCUUCCAUCAGACCUAGAAAUGGUGGAGGAGUCAGAGGAGAACAAGGAGGUAGGGUUGGUGCUGGAGGUAUUAACCAUUCCUCUCUUGAAAUCUUGCCUGGUUGUAGUCAGAAAAUAACAAACAGCCACCACGGGUUCCUCCAGGAGAAGCGAAGUAUCCUCCCCAGGUCAUGGAGCACUCCAUGCUCUGUCCCUAUACACAUGUGGAACUGGUGGAUUUGGGCUCCUUGUUUUGGCAGAAACCCUAGAAGUCCAUAUCAGCCUGGUUUUUGUGCCUUUGGGAUGUAGGGGUGGAUGGGAUCAUUGCGUCUGGAUCGGAGAUGGGAAAGCUGGCUCCCUGACAACUCACCCUGCCUUGCAGCAGUGACUGCAGAAUGCACACCAGACCCCAGGGAACCAUUCUCUUCUUGAAUGGGUAAUGGCUGCCCUUCACACUGUGUGGCCCAGUCAGGGUGACUUACCAUCCUCCCCUACUAGAUGGCAGAUGUUUGUUGAGCUCCAACAGUUGUUAUAGGAGUUGGGCAUGAAAAAUGCCAUUUUCUGGUGAAUUAUGGCCUGGACCAGGAGCCAUUUAUGGGAUGAGGGAUACAGUGCUGUAAACGGCUCCUUCAUCCCUCUUUGAGCCCUCAGUGGCCAUUCUUGCCCUUUAUUUAGGGCAGCCCAUAAAUGUGGUUACCUGUACCAUGGCAGAUUUGGGGGAGGCUGAAGCGAUGUGAGCAUGGAAGGGCAUGAAGGUCACAAGGCCCCAGAUUUGGGGUGAUUUAAUACAGGCAGGAGCUGAGAGAGAGAAAUUGGGUGGGAAGUCAAAUAGAAUCUUACUAGAGCUGCGGCAACAAAGGUCAGAGCAGUGGUUUCAGUCUCUGAGGACCAAGAAGUGGAGGCUGAAGACAGAGCCACAAGCCAGGCCUGUGUUCCCGUCUGCAAGACUCCCUGCUGAAGAGUGAACUGACCUCACCUGAACUCACACAGGAAAACAAUUGGGAGAUACGGUUUGACUGAGGGGAGUGUCAAGGCACCCACUUUCGAGGACAAGGUGGGGAUUGGAGGCCACAUGUUGAAAUAUCAGUUAUUGGUCCCCAGAGAAUGUACAAUGUAUCCUCUAUCUGGUAGACAGAGGAGCUGGAUUCUUACUGAUUUGGCAAUACUGAGCAGUGUCCUGGGACCCCUACUAUUAUAGAUGGAUAUGGGGCUAAGGCUAUCAGAGUGAAUCAAGCCCAAAUACUAUUGGGGAUAGGGCAUCUACUCACAUAGGAGUAUACUGUGUAUAUCUCUCCUAUCCCUGAAUAUAUUUUGGGGAUAGAUAUCCUGCAGGGCCUAUGUUUGCAGACCACCACAGGUGAGUUCAG
Molecule: non-coding RNA, 8410 nt
Organism: Manis javanica (Malayan pangolin)
Lineage: Eukaryota; Metazoa; Chordata; Mammalia; Pholidota; Manidae
Source: RefSeq, a predicted model, not a curated record